CUGCCUGAUGGAGGGGGAUAACUACUGGAAACGGUAGCUAAUACCGCAUAACGUCGCAAGACCAAAGAGGGGGACCUUCGGGCCUCUUGCCAUCGGAUGUGCCCAGAUGGGAUUAGCUAGUAGGUGGGGUAACGGCUCACCUAGGCGACGAUCCCUAGCUGGUCUGAGAGGAUGACCAGCCACACUGGAACUGAGACACGGUCCAGACUCCUACGGGAGGCAGCAGUGGGGAAUAUUGCACAAUGGGCGCAAGCCUGAUGCAGCCAUGC
This 269-nucleotide ribosomal RNA is filed under the name Escherichia coli. RNAcentral's name for it is "partial 16S ribosomal RNA". It matches the Rfam family "Bacterial small subunit ribosomal RNA", at positions 126 to 397 of the family's 1533-position model. The record is from RNAcentral. Lineage: Bacteria; Pseudomonadati; Pseudomonadota; Gammaproteobacteria; Enterobacterales; Enterobacteriaceae.